UGUGUAGGCGGUCUUGUAAGUCAGGGGUGAAAUCUCUCGGCUUAACCGAGAAACUGCCUUUGAGACUGCAGGACUUGAGGGCGUGAGAGGAGACUGGAAUUCCUAGUGUAGCGGUGAAAUGCAUAGAUAUUAGGAGGAACACCAGUGGCGAAGGCGAGUCUCUGGCACGCAUCUGACGCUGAAAACACGAAAGGCCCAGGGGGGCAACG
Molecule: ribosomal RNA, 209 nt
Filed under: uncultured bacterium
Lineage: Bacteria
Description: partial 16S ribosomal RNA
Rfam family: Bacterial small subunit ribosomal RNA
Source: RNAcentral